UACGUAGGUGGCAAGCGUUGUCCGGAUUUACUGGGUGUAAAGGGCGUGCAGCCGGGCUGACAAGUCAGAUGUGAAAUCCCGCGGCUCAACCGCGGAACUGCAUUUGAAACUGUCAGUCUUGAGUACCGGAGAGGUCAUCGGAAUUCCUUGUGUAGCGGUGAAAUGCGUAGAUAUAAGGAAGAACUCCGAUCGCGAAGGCAAGUGUCCGGGGUGCAACUGACGCUGAGGCUCGAAAGUGCGGGUAUCAAACAGG
Molecule: ribosomal RNA, 253 nt
Filed under: uncultured Oscillospira sp.
Lineage: Bacteria; Bacillati; Bacillota; Clostridia; Eubacteriales; Oscillospiraceae
Description: partial 16S ribosomal RNA
Rfam family: Bacterial small subunit ribosomal RNA
Source: RNAcentral